Long non-coding RNA from Pogoniulus pusillus (Red-fronted tinkerbird), 425 nucleotides. RefSeq lists it as uncharacterized. The transcript has 2 exons. The record is from RefSeq and is a predicted model, not a curated record. Lineage: Eukaryota; Metazoa; Chordata; Aves; Piciformes; Lybiidae.
AUCAGUUAACUGCAUAUGAAGAGUUUUGGAAGCAAGGAGCUCUUGGUUGCCUGGGAGAAGAGACCGACUGGGCACCAGCCAGAUUUAAUUCCAUUCACCACCACUUUUUGCUUGAACACCUCCAGGGAUGGAAACUCCACCAACUCUCUGGGCAGCCCAUUCCAAUGGCAAAUCACUCUGUCAAGAACUUUCUCCCAACAUCCAGCCCAUUACCUCCCUGCUAAACUGUGAUUGCUUCCAAGGGUGCUGGUUUGCCACAGCUAAAUUGAUCUAAUAAUUGCUGAGAGAGAUGGGCUUGCUCUAUUGAGUACCUGGGAAUGGGCAUUAUGGUUGUUGGGGUGGUCAGUCUCUCUUGGCACCAGGUGCUUAGAGUGGCUCUUGUUUCCACCAGACAAGGUCCAUCAGUCAGAGGUAGUGUUGGGUAG